AACUAUUAAUGGUGGAUCACUUGGCUCUCGCAUCGAUGAAGAACGCAGCGAAUUGCGAAAAUUGUCGUGACUUGCAUCAUCGUGAAUCAUCGAGUUUUCGAACGCACAUUGCACUUUACACUUGUGUAAAGUAUGUCUGUUUGAGCAUCAUUA
Molecule: ribosomal RNA, 153 nt
Filed under: Linderina macrospora
Lineage: Eukaryota; Fungi; Kickxellomycota; Kickxellomycetes; Kickxellales; Kickxellaceae
Description: 5.8S ribosomal RNA
Rfam family: 5.8S ribosomal RNA
About the family: 5.8S ribosomal RNA (5.8S rRNA) is a component of the large subunit of the eukaryotic ribosome. It is transcribed by RNA polymerase I as part of the 45S precursor that also contains 18S and 28S rRNA.
Source: RNAcentral